Molecule: unclassified non-coding RNA, 343 nt
Filed under: Hevea brasiliensis (rubber tree)
Lineage: Eukaryota; Viridiplantae; Streptophyta; Magnoliopsida; Malpighiales; Euphorbiaceae
Source: RNAcentral
UGGCGGUGUCUAGUAGAAAUAGAGAAAAUUUUGUUGAAAUCUGACGGUGGUCGGAGUAAAGUAGGACAAAAGAUGUUAUAGAAAAGAGUAGAGGCUGGUGGGGAUUGGGAUCGGACAAUUGAUAGACCGACGGAGAGGCCGAGAGUGAGAAGCAGCUGCAAAAGAAUAAUCCAACAUCGGUAUUUGGCUAGCGUAGAAAAAAUAGAGGAAGUUAAGAGAGAGAGAGAGAGAGAGAGAAGAACAGAAAGGAAGAAGGGAGUUUCCAGCAUCUGUAUUUGGUUAGCCGAUGAGAUGUUGCAAAUGGGCAAAUUUUCUUUUUAUCAUUCGAGUUAAUGGCGAUGGC